RNAcentral lists this long non-coding RNA (1926 nucleotides) under Bemisia tabaci. RNAcentral describes it as "lncRNA ENSSSA3NGG012911". The record is from RNAcentral. Lineage: Eukaryota; Metazoa; Arthropoda; Insecta; Hemiptera; Aleyrodidae.
CAAUCUGAUAAACCGACGCACGGGGCAACAAUGCAUUGAGUGCGAGCUCUCAAAAAUCAGAUAAAGCCGGCGCCAGUUUCAAUAAGAGACGAUAUCGAAAGAGUUUCGUUAAGAAUUCGUUUGAACAUCCCUAGAAUGAAUGCGCGGGAAAAUUUUUAAUUUAAAUUUUCUCUCAGCCCAGUGCAGUGCUGCGCUCUUGCGUAAGCAGUUCCAACUUCAGCUAUUUGUUGAAUGGUGCUGCGCUCUUCACCGUUUCCUGAGAAAGUAAUUUACGUUGGUCUGUAGUUGCGGUCUUCUGAUCGCCUAGACAUCCCUAGAAUUUUUAAAUGGCGAUUAUUGACCUCAGUGGAUAAUUACUAUGACUUGUUUUGCUGCCGUUUUAUUGCAUGAAAUUUCUAGUUUUCAGUUUACCCCGUUUGCUUUUUACCAGUUUUAAUUUUUCUUUCUUUCGUGUGAGUGUUUGUUGUUUUUAGUGUUUUACCAUAACCUGCCUGCUCGAAGAUCACUCACCAUGCCAUGAUGUACGAAAUGAAUGAACCGCUCAACGACAACAUGAAGUUUCCCCCGCUUCUGCCAGACGAAGCUGGCGAAGAGGACAGCGAUGAGGACAUGAUCACGGACUACUUGAUGAUGGCCGAUCCGCGAGUGGAGGCCCCGAACAAAGAAGCGAGCUCCAGGUCGGGUCCCAGCCCCCUGGUCCCCAUCAUCAGCGUCACCCCUCACUCUCCCGCCGGAAAACAUUACCCCAUACUAGAAGACAAUAUACAGCAGCUUCAUGACAUCCAUGAAAGUAUCCAACGUAUGCGUGAUGUUAGCGCUCUCAUGCUCAACCAACAGCAGCAAAAUUCCAGAUUAUUUGCAUCUUGUCCAUCACUUAACGACGGGCAAGAUCCCUCUGAUCCUGAUCUCCUAUCUAGGCUUCAGUCUCCUCCAAAUCAACCGUCACAACCAAAGCUUUCUCUCAAUGCCCCAGCCUACUCAGACUCACUACGGCAAAAAAGAGGUUCGGGGGAUUGGUUAAUGUGUGAAGUUCAACGGAGAAGUAGCUGGGCUGCCUUAGACGACCUUACAAAUUGUGAUAAGGGCAGGAAAGUAGAUAAACAUAGAAGUGUAAGUUCUAGUAGUUUAGAGUCAGAAUUGGACGACCCCAUAAUGGAUAGCACUGCAAAUUUACUGAGUACAGAUAGUGCCUCGCCAGUAAAAAUAAUUCAAAGGCGAAAAUCCAGCACUGGAGCCUCUGUUAAUGUCAGGCGCUCAGUUUGUCCAGGAGGCACCUCUUCAACCCAUUCCCUAAAUGAAGCAGACCUACAGAGUGAUUUCAACAAAAUAAUUGCCAAGCACAGAGCUGAAUCUAGGUUGCAAGCAAGGCUCCCUUUGCAGAAAUCAGUAUCCACCCCUUCUAUUUUGGCAGUUCGUGACAUUGCUCAAAUCCGGAAUGAAGUCGGAACCAACAAUGCCAACAUCAACAAUUUAACCAUUGGAGUUCCAACUGAGAGUGAAACGGAGGAAGAAAUGUUAGCAGCACUGAUUGAUCCAAGCAAGCAUCGCACCUCCUUCCAGCUUUUAUUUGCCGACACCGCUUAUGAUGAACAUUCAGAGAAACGUAGGAAAAGAGGAAGCUUGUUCUUCAGGAAGAAAAAGGACAAAUUAAAAAAAUCACCUCAUCAGUGGGUUUCAGUCUGUUAUGGUAGUUCAAAUCACAUUCAAAACUGUGACUGGUGUUCAAAACCUAUCACGAACAAAUCAGCUAUUUUUUGCGAAAAUUGUUUGGUUACUGUUCAUCAAAGUUCCUGCAAAGACCAUAUUGUAGAUUGCAAUAAACAGAAAUUAUCUAAGGUAAAUCAUUAUUUUUCUCAGCAUGUUGCUGCUCUCUCAUUUCGGAAAAUGAGAAGGAUAAUCUUCUUUUUUCAAAUUUCAAGGUUCAUG